AUUGAACGCUGGCGGCAGGCCUAACACAUGCAAGUCGAGCGGUAGCACAGAGAGCUUGCUCUCGGGUGACGAGCGGCGGACGGGUGAGUAAUGUCUGGGAAACUGCCUGAUGGAGGGGGAUAACUACUGGAAACGGUAGCUAAUACCGCAUAAUGUCGCAAGACCAAAGUGGGGGACCUUCGGGCCUCAUGCCAUCAGAUGUGCCCAGAUGGGAUUAGCUAGUAGGUGGGGUAANGGCUCACCUAGGCGACGAUCCCUAGCUGGUCUGAGAGGAUGACCAGCCACACUGGAACUGAGACACGGUCCAGACUCCUACGGGAGGCAGCAGUGGGGAAUAUUGCACAAUGGGCGCAAGCCUGAUGCAGCCAUGCCGCGUGUGUGAAGAAGGCCUUCGGGUUGUAAAGCACUUUCAGCGGGGAGGAAGGCGNUNAGGUUAAUAACCUNNNCGAUUGACGUUACCCGCAGAAGAAGCACCGGCUAACUCCGUGCCAGCAGCCGCGGUAAUACGGAGGGUGCAAGCGUUAAUCGGAAUUACUGGGCGUAAAGCGCACGCAGGCGGUCUGUCAAGUCGGAUGUGAAAUCCCCGGGCUCAACCUGGGAACUGCAUUCGAAACUGGCAGGCUAGAGUCUUGUAGAGGGGGGUAGAAUUCCAGGUGUAGCGGUGAAAUGCGUAGAGAUCUGGAGGAAUACCGGUGGCGAAGGCGGCCCCCUGGACAAAGACUGACGCUCAGGUGCGAAAGCGUGGGGAGCAAACAGGAUUAGAUACCCUGGUAGUCCACGCCGUAAACGAUGUCGAUUUGGAGGUUGUGCCCUUGAGGCGUGGCUUCCGGAGCUAACGCGUUAAAUCGACCGCCUGGGGAGUACGGCCGCAAGGUUAAAACUCAAAUGAAUUGACGGGGGCCCGCACAAGCGGUGGAGCAUGUGGUUUAAUUCGAUGCAACGCGAAGAACCUUACCUGGUCUUGACAUCCACAGAACUUNCCAGAGAUGNNUUGGUGCCUUCGGGAACUGUGAGACAGGUGCUGCAUGGCUGUCGUCAGCUCGUGUUGUGAAAUGUUGGGUUAAGUCCCGCAACGAGCGCAACCCUUAUCCUUUGUUGCCAGCGGUNNGGCCGGGAACUCAAAGGAGACUGCCAGUGAUAAACUGGAGGAAGGUGGGGAUGACGUCAAGUCAUCAUGGCCCUUACGACCAGGGCUACACACGUGCUACAAUGGCAUAUACAAAGAGAAGCGACCUCGCGAGAGCAAGCGGACCUCAUAAAGUAUGUCGUAGUCCGGAUUGGAGUCUGCAACUCGACUCCAUGAAGUCGGAAUCGCUAGUAAUCGUAGAUCAGAAUGCUACGGUGAAUACGUUCCCGGGCCUUGUACACACCGCCCGUCACACCAUGGGAGUGGGUUGCAAAAGAAGUAGGUAGCUUAACCUUCGGGAGGGCGCUUACCACUUUGUGAUUCAUGACUGGGGUGAAG
Molecule: ribosomal RNA, 1465 nt
Filed under: Klebsiella pneumoniae
Lineage: Bacteria; Pseudomonadati; Pseudomonadota; Gammaproteobacteria; Enterobacterales; Enterobacteriaceae
Description: 16S ribosomal RNA
Rfam family: Bacterial small subunit ribosomal RNA
Source: RNAcentral